This 10412-nucleotide long non-coding RNA is filed under the name Hordeum vulgare. RNAcentral describes it as "long non-coding RNA (HVUL_LNC015683)". Lineage: Eukaryota; Viridiplantae; Streptophyta; Magnoliopsida; Poales; Poaceae. The record is from RNAcentral.
GAGAGAGGAGGCUAUCUCCACCUACACCUACAUGACCUCAACGACGCCGGAACGCGAGGGCGAUCGUCGAAAUCGAACCGGAACGGAGAGAGGACGAGAGGGAUGUUCUCACCGAGCCCUAUAGAUGUGCAAAAAUGGGCUUGGGGAGGCUUGACGGUGCGGCGACGGAGGGGUUGGCGGUGUGGAUGUCUGAGGAGGCGCCCGCGAUGGUGGUCGGAGAGGCCCCCAGCGAGGCAGGGCCGGUGAAGACGUCGGGAGGGCCGGCGAUGGCGGUGGUCGAGCAGGCCGGCGAAGGUGCUCUAGCGUGGUGGAACCGAGGCGCGGCGGCGGCGGAUGUGGCCCGGGGCGGGGUGGCGUGGUCCCGGUGCGGCGCGGCAUGGCGAGGGGCGAGGGCACGCCUCGGUGAUGGUGGUGCGGCAGGAUCUCGGCUCCAGGGAGGAGCAAGGUGGCGCGGGGUGGGGCGCGCUGGCGAGAGGGUGUUGGGGGCUUCGAUGGGGCGACGGGGAGGGCUCCAGCAAGGGGAGAUGGGGCGCUGGGGAGGAGAGGCCAGGGUGGUGAGGGAAGCCGCCGGGAUCGACGGGAUCUAGGGCGCAGGGGGCUCCGUGGGGAAGGAGUUGGGGCGAGCGGGAGGCAAAGUGGGGGCGACGGCGGGUGGAGCGACUGGAGGGGAGGGCCGACGGCGCGAGCGAGACGGUGGGGCGAGGUGAUCUAGGAGGAGGGUGGCAGAGCCUCGGUCGUGGGGGAGAGAGGGGAGGCAGGGCUUCGUGGGUUGGUGGGACGAGCGAAGGUGCGGGGCUCGUGAGCGAGAGAGGGAGCAGUGAGGGUCUCAGUCGCCAGGGGGGUGGGGCGACGAGGGGUGGGACUGGCGGUGUUGGGAGAGUGGGAAGGGGGUGGGCACCGGUUAGGGUUAGCCCUGGUGAUGGGUGGGGCUGUGAGGUGGCCGGGUGGGUAGGUUUUAGAUGGGCCGGCCGGCUCAUUCGGGGGUGGGGGUUUUGUUCCUUUUAUUUUUCAUUUUUCAUUUUCUUUCUUGUUUUCUUUUCUUUAUUACUGUUUUCGAUUGACUUUAUUUCGGUGAAAUCAAUUCCUUCAAAAUUAAUAAUUCCUAAAGGAAAUUUGCUUAAGAACUAUUUGACAAACAUCGAACAUUUCUUUUCUUAUAUUUGAAUUUGAACUGCUUUGAGCUAAUGUGAAUUAAACAAUAGCAACCUUGAUGACGUGGCACCAUUAGCAUAGGCUUACUUAGUUUAAUUACGGAGGCUACUGUAGCUUAAGUUACUGGGGCGUCACAAGGGGGGGGGCUGGGAGCGCGACGGUCGACACGGGGAAGAGGUUGCCCCUGUGUACCCGUCACCGUGUUCGAGGCACCUCUCAGGGGAUCCGGGCGCUCCCCGCUGGUGGCCCGAGCAGUCGCGGGAGGGGUCCCAUUUGCGGGCGUGGCAGACAAGGCGUUCGCGGACGGGGCCAGCGGAGCGGGAUGGGCACCCGGCCUUCCAGGUUGCGAAGUCACUCUGUCAACGCAGCCCGUGAGUUCAUCGUACGGAUGGAGGGUUGGCCUCGCACAUGGCUCCGGCUCCCGGACUAUUUCAUGGAGGACAUGGAGGAGCACACGCCCCUGGCCCUAUGGCUGCUGCCAGAUAGCUGCUGCAACGGUCCUUCUUCGGUCGCGACGGAGUUCAACUCCCUCGGCUUCAUGUCCUUGGGGCGCUGGUGGAAGUCGUUCGCCCUUGUCCAAGGUUUGUAGGGAGGACACAUCCUCCACUUCAAGGUCGAUGGGGCCGCCACGCUCUUGAUGAAGGCCUUCGGAAGCGCCAACGGGCGCCUGGACUACUGCAUGGAAGGUGACAGUAGCGGCAGCAACGGCCCAUCCGGCAGCGACAGCUCCUCCUCCGGGAGGAGAUGGGCGACAUCGAAUACGAUGGUUCCCCGAGCACCCAUGUCAAGGAGGAGGUGGGCUCCGACUAAGAGCGCGAUGAUGGCAUUGAGAUUCCUGGCGAUGGUGCUUCGAGAGCCCGAUCUUCUUCCUUUAGUGUUGUCUUCCCUUUCCUGUAAUGCAACAUGCUGGCCCCAUGGGGGCAUGUAAAAAGGGGUUAUGUCUUUCACACUUCAAAUCGAACGCUAUUUUAGAUCAAAAAUAAACCUCUCCCUGGUAUUCUUUCUCAAGUUUGAACCCUCUCCAAGGUCAUGCCAAUGCCUCGUGUUGCUAAGCCCCAACCCCGAGCGUGGUUACGAGGGCUCCUGAGGCACGACAUUCAGGGGCUCGCCUUCAGAGUGCUAGCGGCUCGCGCGAGGGGUCGCUGUUUGUGGGGCCAACCUCGCAAGGCCCCUUGAGGGAAGUCCCGUGGAGAAAACACAUUGUCCCGACGGUACACGCUUGCCUUCUUACAUUUGGGUGUUACGCGAGAAGUAUAGACACCAAGGGCCUUGAUGAGGUGAUGAGCGCGUGGGUGUUCCUGCGAGCUGGAACACAGUUCUCUAGGUUCUCAUCACCGUCGGGGCAAACCCAGGCGAAGGCACCGUGCCCAGCCCCCGUAAGCGUGAGGCCCAAGGUAAGGCUAGAAAGCCCGUGCCGGGGGGUAUCUAACACUGCUCGGCCGAGCGCCUUCCACCCUAAGGUGGUGCGGCCCCCGGGGGCAUUCUUCAUGAUCUUCUCCUCAACGCGAUGCAUGGGGUUUUCACUAGGCAUGGGCGUGGUAAGACGAGAUAAAACCAAGGAAACUCCACGAAAACAAGAAGACCAAGACCUGCAUUAAAACCCGAGGCGAACUUGUUUACAAGCCCAAAAAUGGGAUGUGCGGCUGCCUUGUCAAGCACGGUUCAGCGUGGUUAGCUUGUUCACAUGUGAAAAAAGAAGGGAGGAAAAGCGGUUGAUGUAUCCAGCAUGGUUCAACCUAGAAAGAAGUGCGGUUGCUGUAUCCAGCACGGGUCUGCCUAAAACAAGUGCGACUGUCAUGUCCAGCACGGGUUAGCCUGGGGUUAGUUGUGUCCCGCACGACGCCUUCUUUGAGUGUUCCCCAAGCGCGAUGCAAGGGCCUUUCACUUGGGCGUGGGCAUAGUCGUGGUUCGAUAGUCAUUCCACCAGCGUGGAGCAUAGGGACUUCCACAUGUGGAUGGGCGGGAGCCCUCCACCGAGGCCACGACGUGGCUCGUCAUGAGCUUCCACUUGGGAGGGUCCGGGCAUAUACAGCCCACUUAUUCUGACGUGAGGGUAUCAUGGGUAUAACUUCCAGAUGUGUUGAAUGUUCCACGCGUUCGACACCGGGCUCCCAACCUCCCUCUUCAGGCACAUGGCACCAAGCCUGGAUACAUGGGCGCUCCUCAAGGGUCCCUUCCAGCCUUCGUCUCAAGGCGCACGGUGCCAAGCCUGGGGACAUGGGCUCUCCCAAAGGGGCCCUUCCUCUCUUCAUCUAUCCGCGACAGUUCUCCACGCGAGGGCGUGGCACUAAAGACCUUUGUGAGAUGACUAGCACGGGUGGCCAGGCUGUGAGCCAGAGCUCGUUCACUUAUAUUUCUCGGCACUUCAAGGACAAGUCCUAACAGAGAUGCCAUGCCUAACACCCACCAUGGAACCGUCACAGGGUGGUUGCGGGGGCGCGUCAGCCCCCGGUGAGCGUCGUAGCACCAGGGCUUAAUGUUUGGACAAACGACCCCAUCUCAUGUGAAACUUAAUUGAGUUCAUUACACAUCCAGAAAACACCCGUUCGAGGCGGUGCAAAAUAAAGGGAAUUGCUUGCCUAACAACCCAAAAAGUCACUUGGCGGCCAUGAUGCCGCGGGAGCGUAAGGCCGUUGGAUGAACAAGGAGUUGUAUGGUUUGGGAAUCGUAUUUGCAUACCAACAAGGUUGAGCUCAAGAACCUGAUCUUACAAGAAGCCCCUGAAACUCCGUAUUUCAUCCAUCCUGGAGGAACCAAGAUGUACCAAGACCUCAAGGCAAGAUUCCCGUGGCACGGCAUGAAGAGAGAGAUAGCCUCUUAUGUUGGUGAGUGUGACGUAUGCCAGAGGGUCAAAGCUGAACAUCAGCGACUCGCUCGACUGUCAUAGCCUCUCAGAGUGCCAGAAUGGAAGUGGGACAAAGUUGGGAUGGACUUCAUCACCAAUUUGCCAAGAUCCAACAAAGGACACAAUUCCAUUUGGGUCACUUUAGAGCACCUGUCCAAUGUGGCCCACUUCAUUCGUGUCAAGACCUCCUCGAUGGGCACAAGCUAGCCAGUCUCUACAUCGAGCGUAUCGUGAGCCUCCACAAAGUUCCCAAGAAGAUUGUGCCAGAUCGAGGUACAUGGUUUACCUUGAGAUUUUGGAAGCAGUUCCAAGGAGCCAUGUGAACCAAGCUUUGUUUUAGCAUUACUUUUCACCCUCUGACAGGCGGACAAAUGGAACGAGUAAAUCAGAUACUCAAGGACAUGCUUCGUGCCUCUCUUUUGGCAUAUGGAGCCAAGGGGGAGGAAUGUUUGCCCUUUGCCGAGUUCUCCUACAACAACACCUACCAGUCUAGUCUACACAUGGUACCAUUUGAGGUGUUGUAUGGAUGCAAGUGCCACACAACCCUCAAUUCGUCAAAAACCGGCAAAUGACUAAUAUUUGGACCAGAUAUUCUCAGCGAAGCCGACGACCAAGUUCAACUCAUCAAGGAACGUCUAGAGACCACUAAGUCAAGGCAGGAGAGCUACACCAACUCACACCGCCAAGAAGUGGACCUCAACAUCGGAGACUAUGUAUACCUCCUUCUCACGCCUCUGAAAAGAACCAAGAGUUUCCACGUUAAGGUGAAGCUUGCACCAAGAUACAUUGGCCCUGUCGGAUUUCGGGCUUCGCAAACCCUAAGGAUUCGAACUUAGGGGUGCAUGCAGAGGCCACUUAACAAAUUCGAUCCCUAGGCUCGCUACUCGAUGAUCAAAGCAGAGAACUCAAUCAAUGGUGAUGAAGACACAGGACACGACAGUUUACCCAGGUUCGGGCCGCUGGGAAACAUAAAACCCUACUCCUGCUUUGGUGGAUUUCCUCUCGUGGAGGUUGGGGAAUGAACUAGUAAAGUGUUCUUCAGCCUCGUGAGGUUAGGUGGCCUUAGAGGUGCGAUGGUGGGUGAGUGAAACGUUCGGGGUCCCCCUUCUAUGAAGCAACCUAUCCUCUAUUUAUAGUGGCGGGCCCGGUCCUCUUCCCUUAUCAUUUCGGCAGGAAUUGAUCCCAUGGUGGCCAAUUUUGAAGGGGGCACAAGAACAUGCUCCCAUGCCCAAAGGUGGUCUUCGCCUGCAAAGUGGCUGCCCGCGCUGCAGCGGCGACGUCCGCCCCGCAGGCGGGCGGCGGUGGCUUGGUUACACCGAAGUGGAAACCUUUGGAAGAUGCCUUCGAGUCUCACGUACGUCCUUGCCCCCCUUUGCACGGCCCUGCCUUCAGCCGUUCGCAUGUCCUUCCGUUGCGUCAUCCUUUACACCGAAGGCCACAAUUUGCCUCGGAAUGUCCGUCAUUUCUGAGGGGUCCUGAGGAGCCCCCGUAUGGGUCAUGAUGUUGUUCCUCCUCGUAAGUCUUGGGCCCUCACGGGGACCUUGCCUUGAGUGACGUUGAGCCUGCUAGUGCUUCGUUGAUGAAGUGGGCCAUCCUCGGGCUGUAGGCAGGCAGGUCUGGGUACCCCAUUCCUAGAACGUCGACAGUAGCCCCCGGGCCCAAGGCGCGCCCGGCCUGGCUUCCUCGUGAAGCCUUGGGGGCAACAUGAAGCGUCGCGGGUCCUAAAUGUUUGCGGACCAGGCUUCUGUCAUGAUCGGUUUCCAAAUAAACUUAAUUAAUUGGAAAUCAUCCAUGUGCAUCCCAAGUGAAGAAAAAAAAUUCUCACUGACAGACUCAUCUCGAUACAGAAAACCAGUAGUACAUAAUAUUAAACAGGUAUAGCAGAGGUUUCUCUACAAUUUAUUACAACAUGCUCACGUCUCACACAAACGGAUAUGUUAAAGUGGAAUAGGAUAAAUCUACUACUCGUAAUAAAAGGGGCACGUCACAUCACAGUAAUGUGACAUGACUAGUACUACUACGUGCCAAGUAUCGGAGUGAGGCUUGAUGAUUUAUUCACGAUGGCGGAAGCGGUGAAACAAUAUAGCGGCACACUCCAGGAUUGCAAGACUGACGGGGACUCCUCUAGACAUCGGACUCGCUAUCGAACUCUUCAUCCAUGAGGUCUCCUUCAUCCAGAUCUUGCCACAUCAACAAGCUAGUGAGUACUUCGAAAAGUACUCGCAAACAGUUUGCACAAAAGAUGAGAUGCAUACAGUUGGUUACUAAUAUGCAUGGUUCAGAUUAUAUAGUAUAACAAUGAAUGUGCUAGAAAUAAAUUAAGUUAGUGGAUAAAUCGGGGGGUAAUCCUCCCGAAUAUCCUAAUAGAAAGGUAAAAAUACACCGAACGGGUGUGUGGAGCGACGCCUCGAAAAGUUAACAAGGGUUAAUAAACCACCGUCGGGCGUCUGAGCGACACCACAUACAGGGCAUAAAAUAAAUAGCAAGCCGCAGACGGGAAUCUUAGCGACACCACAGUAAGGGCAUAUAAAUAAUUAACAAGCCGCAGUCGGGCAUCUUAGCGACACCACAGAAAGGGCAUAUGAAUAAAUAACAAGCUGCAGUCGGGCGUCUUAGCGACACCACAGAGAGGGCAUAUAAAUAAAUAACAAGCCGUAGUCAGGCGUCUUAGUGACACCACAGAAAGGUCAUAUAAAUAAAUAACAAGCCGUAGUUGGACGUCUUAGUGACACCAGAGAAAGGGCAUAUAAAUAAAUAAGAAGUAUCCAAGUGUUACAACCAACCUUCAGGAUAAUUCAUGAACCAAUAAAUAAUUUGAUCGUGUUCCACAUCAUCAUUAGAUUUCCACAACCAUUAUUAGUUCCACCACUUAAACUCCAAGGACCGACUCUAAGACCGACACUUGACUCGUCAAACAACAUCCUUGAUCGUGGACAUGGCUACUCGAAUAGUUUUUACUCUGCACAGGGUGUACUCUUUACCCAUAGCUCACGGGUUUCGGUAGCCAACAAGACUAAUCCCGCGUACGACAUUUUAGAAGCAGACACUCAGAACCAGCACACACCCAUUUUACCACCACGAAGCCCGACUAGCAUGGGAUCAAAAUUUAUACCAUAAGAUGGGGUGGCUCCGACCUCGACUAGCAUGGGAUCAAAAUUUAUACCUCACGGGGAGUUCCCUCCCUUCUGGUCCAGCACCGGAAACACCCAUGCCCCCUGAACGGAUGAUUGGAUUUAGUCCAGGGCUAUGGAUACCUUCAUUCCGGCCCCUCUACUUGGUAUGUGACUGAUAAUAGGUCUACAUCUGACUAUACCGAAUCCAUUAUCCAGGAAACUGUGGUAGCACGAUAUAGAAAGUAUGAUACAGACAAGACUCGAUCUAGGUCAAUACUGGAGUUUUUCAAAUUUUACCAACACCAUCGUGCCCUUGUCAUGACCAGGCCAUAACCUAUCACGUUCCGUGUGACUAGGUUAUCCACGACCUCUCAUAACUAUCACAUGUCAUUGUCAUGUUUUAUCAUUGUUAUAAAUAUGUAGCAUGUAUGAACAAUGGAAGAUGAUGAAUAUUAAAAUACUGGUUAGUUAGCAAGCAACACAUCAAGAGUUCAAACAUGCUUGCCUAGUUCCACGUAGUCGGUAUCAAGCUCGGAGCAGUUAACGUCGUUGUUCCCCUUGUCGGAAUCUAGGUUAUAAAUCAUGUAACGUCGUAAGGGGUAAGGCCUAGAUACUGGCUCCGCAAUAAAUCUAGGAAAAUAUAUAAAUAAACUAGGCACUAUAGGGAUUGUUUUGCAAAAUAAAUAAUUGAAGAAGGUGUCGUAAAUCCAAAGUUAUGGGCAGAACAAUUUCAGGGACUCUUCUGAAAUAAAAAGAAACUAGUCGAGUAGUUAGCUUGUGAUAACUCAAAGCGCCCGAAUAAAAAAUGUUUUCCUGAAACGAAAAUUGUUUCUGUAAGAAUACGUUUCCUUCAAAACAUUUCAGAGGAGAGAGGAGACGCUGAUAAGGGGGUCCUCCUGUCAGGUUCGAAGGCUCACCGGUGCCAGAUGCUCACGUUGGUUGUCGGCGGCGAUAGGAAGGAGGAGGGGGUUGGAUAAGGGUGUCGCUGCACUCAUCGUCGACCCACCCAUCUAAGAGAUGAUGUUUUGGACCAGCAGGAGGCUUCAUGUUGACGGCAGCUUCACUCUCGCAGACGGCAGCUCCGGUCAAGCUUCGAUCCUUUCAACAAAGAAGCUCCUGCGUUCGAUUGGGCGAGGGGUUAGGAGGGGAAGCGCACUAGGGGGCUAAUGGAAGUUAGAGAAGGUCCUACCACAACCUACCUAGCUCAGAAGUAGCCACCGAAGCAGAUCGGGGCGGACGGAGUUGGGGAAAAAGGUCCCUUCGAGGACCCUCUUUGUUUCGGGCAGUGCUGUGGGGUGGAGGAGAAUAGUGGAGAGGUGGGUGAUCGUCUCAGAACCUCGGGGGAGCGCUCCAUUUAUAGAAGCCGAGGGGAGGAGCUGCAGCAUUAAGUCUGGCAAGCAAUUCCGGAGAAGCAGGGGGUCAGGUAGGAAAUUAGGUGGUCCGUCUCGUACCUAACAACCAACGGAAGUCCAUUUUUGACCUAAAGCUAGUCGGUCAUCAACGGAGAUUGCGCAGCAACGACGAGGUGCUCGUUGUGCACAGCGGCGGCAGUGUUCGUGUUCUGAGCAGCUCGGUGCAUAGCGAGGUCUUUCGCGGCGUGCACUGGCGAUGUAGGAUAGGCGGAGGCGGCAGGAGCGUUGGGCGGUGCCGGGCGGCGUGGGGCUGUAGCAGGGAAGGUGUUGUGGUCGUUGCAGCCGCAGUAGGGGCUACUGCCGGAGCUUGGCCGGCUCGGCCAGCUCACCACCGACGCUAGCCUUCGUCCAAGGCUUUGCGCGGCGCGCGGAUAUGCUCAAGCACAGGAUAAACUGGCUCAAGCGCCGAUCCUGUGGAGAUUAACGAGGUUGGGCUCUGCUGCACUGAAACUGAACAUGUCUGAAUUAAUUUCAGAGAAGAGCAGUAACACCAGUGCAGGACAAGGUCUUGAUGAAAUGAAAAUGGCGCGAGCCUAAGGAGUUUUGAGCUGAAAUUUUUUGGGAGGGCUCUCAUUGUGUGCAGAGAUAGUGUAAAAAAUUCAGAAUUUUUGAAAAGUUUGAAGGUAGGUUUUAAAUGAAAAUAGUAUUCUGAGGUCAAAAUUGAGUCAAACCAAAGUUGAAAAUUUCGUGAUGAAGAUGGUUGAGGAUACUAAGGUCUACUAACUGCAAGAGUGUGGGUUCAAGACUGCAAAGGAAUCACUAGGUUCCUUUGUAAAUUUACUAGGGCCAAAUCUAACUACAAAAUUUGUAUUUAUUAAAAAUAAAAUAUAAANNNNNNNNNNNNNNNNNNNNNNNNNNNNNNNNNNNNNNNNNNNNNNNNNNNNNNNNNNNNNNNNNNNNNNNNNNNNNNNNNNNNNNNNNNNNNNNNNNNNUCACGAGCCCCGCACCUCCCCUCGUCCCACCAACCCACGAAGCCGUGCCUCCCUCGCUCCCCCACCUACCGCCCCACUCCCUCUCGUCCCUCUCUCCCCCACGACCGAGGCUCUUCCUCCCUCCUCCUAGAUCGCAUCGCCCCGACUGUCUCGCUCGCGCCGUCAGCCCUCCCCUCCCGUCGCUCCACCCGUCAUCGCCCCCACAGCGCCUCCUGCUCGCCCCAUCUCGUUCCCCACGGUGCCCCCCUGCGCCCUUGAUCCCGUCCAUCGCAGCAGCCUCCUUCACCCCCUGGCCUCUCCUCUCUAGCGCCCCAUCUCCCCUUGUUGGAGCCCUCCACGUCGCCCCAUCGAAGCCCCCUACUCCCUCUCGCCGGCGCGCCCCACCCCGCGCCACCUUGCUCCUCCCUAGAGCCCAGAUCCCGCCGCACCUCCAUCACUGAGGCGCGCCCUCGCACCCCGCCAUGGCGCGCCGCACCGGGACCAUGCCACCCCGCCCCGGGUCACCUCCGCCGUCGCCCCGCCUCGGUUCCACCACACGGGAGCACCUUCGCCGGCCGGCUCGACCACCGCCACCACCGCCCCUCCCGGCGUCUCCACCGGCCCUGCCUCGUCGGGGGCCUCUCCGGCCACCAUCGUCGGUGCUUCCACCAACGUCCACACCACCAACCCCUUUGUCUCCGCAUCGUCAAGCCUCCCCGAGCCCAUUUUUGCACAUCUACAAGGCUCUGUGAGAACACCCCUCAAAUCCUCUCUCCGUUCCGGCGAUCGCCGUCACGUACCGGCACCGUUGAGGUCAUGUAGGUGUAGGUGGAGAUAGCCUCCUCUCUCUCUAUUGAGAGAGAGAGAUGAACAGAGAGAUGUCACUGAGUGUUAGUAUAGAAAGAGAAAAGAAAAAAUGGAAAACGAUAAUGUAUAUGUGUAUGUAUGUAUGUAUUAAUGUAUGUAUGUACGUAUGUAU